AAGAUAAGAGUUAAAAAUUGAUAUGAAAUGUCUUCCUUUGCUUUUGAAUCCAGGCCAUAAGGCACAAGGCAUUAUCAAACAAAGUACAAGAGAUUUCCUAAAAUAUUGGGUAAAUUUCACUCUCCUUUUUCUGAUAAAUACAAAAAUAUUUUGAUAAAUGCAGUUAUCUCGUGGUUUCUGAAAUAUCACUGAUAUCCCUUUUUUAAACUAUAAUUGAGAUUCCUUCUGCCCUUAAAUUUAUUGCUAAAAGGGUCCCAAUUUUUAUGUACUUGUAUUGUCAAAUGCGUAACCAACUAAAGUUGGGGAAGAUAGAGAGGAGAUGAGCCAUUAUCAAUGAUGUAUCUCUCAAUCUGUAGCUGUUGUUUUGUACACAGUUCAUUUAUAUGCAACUAAUUAUAUGUUGGUUACUUGGUAAGUUCUGAAUUAUGGUAUAUUUAUCUUGGCCUAUUGACUGAUUUUUAUGUGGUUGGAUUUGCG
This 477-nucleotide long non-coding RNA is filed under the name Actinidia chinensis (golden kiwifruit). RNAcentral's name for it is "long non-coding RNA (ACHI_LNC005641)". Lineage: Eukaryota; Viridiplantae; Streptophyta; Magnoliopsida; Ericales; Actinidiaceae. The record is from RNAcentral.